CUGUUGCAGAUGCCAAUUGAGUC
This 23-nucleotide non-coding RNA is filed under the name Rattus norvegicus (Norway rat). Lineage: Eukaryota; Metazoa; Chordata; Mammalia; Rodentia; Muridae. The record is from RNAcentral.